AUGGGAUGGUUGAGGCCGGGGCCACGCCCCCUCUGCCCCCCUGCGAGGGCAUCCUGGGCUUUCUCCCACCGCUUUCCGAGCCCGCUUGCACCUCGGCGAUCCCCGACUCCCUUCUUUAUGGCGUCGCUCCUGUGCUGUGGGCCGAAGCUGGCCGCCUGCGGCAUCGUCCUCAGCGCCUGGGGAGUGAUCAUGUUGGUGAGGGGACUCCCCGGCAAGGAUCGGAGAGGGCCUGAGGGGCUCCGGGCUGGGAGGGCUGGGAGGCGAGGAAACUCUGGGCCGCAGGCAGGCCGGAGGGGCCGGGGAUCUACAGGCCCCGGAGAAGGAGACAGACUGAAAUUGAAAAAUGGGAACUGUUCGAGACCAGCCUGACCAACAUGGUGAAACCCCGUCUCCAAUAAAAAUACAAAAAUUAGCCGGGCGUGGUGGCGCCCGCCUGUAAUCCCAGCUACUCAGGAGGCUGAGGCAGGAGAAUCGCUUGAAUCCGGGAGGCGGAGGGUGCAGUGAGCCGAGAUCGCGCCACUGCACUCCAGCCUGGGUGACAGAGCGAGACUCCGUCCCCAAAGAAAAAGAAAAAAGGGAACUGGAGCGGAGGGCCCUGGAGUGGGAGGAGCCAGGGCUGGUAAAGGUGGAGACCCCUCAAGGUAGGAGAAACAAGAGCGGGGUGCCUGAGAGGUGCUUGAGUUGAAUGGAGGACAUGGGAGGAAAAGAGAGUGCUUGUUCCAGAAAUGUGUAGCUGGGCCUUGUUUUCCCAGUAAUCCACCCACCGCCACUUCAAGAAGAAAUGAUAUGAAGAAGUGCCGGUUCUCCCUCCCCUCUUCCGCACUGUCCCGUGAUGAUGACGCCUCCAGAGAGGACGAUAAUCUGGGUUCCUGGGAGAGAUGGCUUGGUCACUAUUCCCACCCUUGCCUCGACCACUUGUCUCAAUGUCACCACCUCACGCCCUGUUCCAGGUGGCUGAGUCCGAAUCCAAUAAUGCUCGGAAUAUUUUUCAAUGUCCAUUCCGCUGUGUUGAUUGAGGACGUUCCCUUCACGGAGAAAGAUUUUGAGAAUGGCCCCCAGAACAUAUACAACCUUUACGAGCAAGUCAGCUACAACUGUUUCAUCGCUGCAGGCCUUUACCUCCUCCUCGGAGGCUUCUCUUUCUGCCAAGUUCGGCUCAAUAAGCGCAAGGAAUACAUGGUGCGCUAGGGCCCCGGCGCGUUUCCCCGCUCCAGCCCCUCCUCUAUUUAAAGACUCCCUGCACCGUGUCACCCAGGUCGCGUCCCACCCUUGCCGGCGCCCUCUGCGGGACUGGGUUUCCCGGGCGAGAGACUGAAUCCCUUCUCCCAUCUCUGGCAUCCGGCCCCCGUGGAGAGGGCUGAGGCUGGGGGGCUGUUCCGUUUCUCCACCCUUCGCUGUGUCCCGUAUCUCAAUAAAGAGAAUCUGCUCUCUUCAG
RNAcentral lists this unclassified non-coding RNA (1435 nucleotides) under Homo sapiens (human). Its description in RNAcentral is "ribonuclease kappa transcript variant 12". The stretch from base 413 to 560 matches the Rfam family "Metazoan signal recognition particle RNA". Lineage: Eukaryota; Metazoa; Chordata; Mammalia; Primates; Hominidae. The record is from RNAcentral.